UCGACGACGUGCGCAGAGCUUGGAUCUCCAGUUUUCAUCUGUCAGCUCUUGCAAAGGCGAGAUGAUCCAUCGUCGGCCUCGCGGCAUUGCCUUGCGGGGCUACUCGGACAGGCGAUUAGGCCUCGGUGAGUUCGGUCGGUGGUGGUGGUGGUGUUGGAAGUCGCCUUUGCUCGAGCUGCCAAUUGAACAUUGGUCCUAUCGUCACAGCUCUCUCGGGGCGUCGA
Non-coding RNA from Marchantia polymorpha subsp. ruderalis, 224 nucleotides. Lineage: Eukaryota; Viridiplantae; Streptophyta; Marchantiopsida; Marchantiales; Marchantiaceae. The record is from the annotation of a GenBank genome assembly.